UCUGAUGGUACCGUCUCCAGAAGCCUAGCUUCCUUUUCAACCCAUCUGACAGUAGUUUACAGGGCGAAGCCCCUUCGUCCUACACGCGGCAUUGCUGGUUCAGGCUUGCGCCCAUUGACCAAUAUUCCUCACUGCUGCCUCCCGUAG
Molecule: ribosomal RNA, 147 nt
Filed under: uncultured Chlorobiota bacterium
Lineage: Bacteria; Pseudomonadati; Chlorobiota
Description: uncultured Chlorobi bacterium partial 16S ribosomal RNA
Source: RNAcentral